CCUACGGGUGGCAGCAGUCGAGAAUCAUUCACAAUGGGGGAAACCCUGAUGGUGCGACGCCGCGUGGGGGAAUGAAGGUCUUCGGAUUGUAAACCCCUGUUAUGUGGGAGCAAAUUAAAAAGAUAGUACCAUAAGAGGAAGAGACGGCUAACUCUGUGCCAGCAGCCGCGGUAAUACAGAGGUCUCAAGCGUUGUUCGGAAUCACUGGGCGUAAAGCGUUCGUAGGCUGUUUCGUAAGUCGUGUGUGAAAGGGGCGGGCUCAACCCGCGGACGGCACAUGAUACUGGGAGACUAGAGUAAUGGAGGGGGAGGCGGAAUUCGCGGUGUAGCAGUGAAAUGCGUAGAUAUCGAGAAGAACACUGAUGGCGAAGGCAGGUUCCUGGACAUUAACUGACGCUGAGGCACGAAGGCCAGGGGAGCGAAAGGGAUUAGAUACCCGUGUAGUC
Molecule: ribosomal RNA, 446 nt
Filed under: uncultured bacterium
Lineage: Bacteria
Description: partial 16S ribosomal RNA
Rfam family: Bacterial small subunit ribosomal RNA
Source: RNAcentral